AGUCCCCGCAGGUCAGGAGCGCUGCGCAGGCGAACGACGGGCGCACUAAAGGGGGAUGUGCAUUAACGUGACUCUCCGUAGGACCUACUUCGGAUGGCUCUGUGUGUCUGUCUUUGGAGUGGUUCUGGACCUUCGCUACAGAACGUGGAUGCGAGUCACUCAGUUUGCGCUGCUUUUGUGACGAGAGUGUGUGUUUCUGGUGUGUUCCUCCGGGACUGUGACGAGAGAGAGAGAGACAGCCAGUGAGAGAUGGAACACAAGAGGGGGAGUGGGAGAGGAAGAAGCAGGCUCCCAGUGGAAAAGCCUGAUGCAGGGCUCGAUCCCAGAAUGCUGGGAUCACGCCCUGAACCAAAGGCAGACGCUUAACGACUGAGCCACCCAGACGACCCUACCACUGACCUUCUGAAGAUACAUGAGGAGGAGGAUCAUCUGCUUCUGGACUGCAGUUGACCACAGGUAUAUGACGUAGUAAAAAGGAUGCCAGUCUGAAUGAAGUCCUUCCCACACACUGCACACAUUACUUUCCCCACCAAGACCUAGGAUUAUUUCAAGUUCCAUAGAAAAUAAGCAAUGAUGGAAAAUUUUCUGAAUUCAUUACCAAGUGUGUCUAUCUUCAACUAUAUGUCCUGCCUGAGGUUCACCAAGGUCUGCAAGACAACUGUUGUUUUUCAACAAAUAAUACUAAUGACAACGAUGAAUAAAAUCAUG
Molecule: long non-coding RNA, 708 nt
Organism: Ailuropoda melanoleuca (giant panda)
Lineage: Eukaryota; Metazoa; Chordata; Mammalia; Carnivora; Ursidae
Exons: 4
Source: RefSeq, a predicted model, not a curated record